AUGAUUUAAAUACGUAUUUUGUGUAUGUAUAAUUUGUUUUAUGUACUUUUUACCUCUACUGCUGCACUAACAAGUAUUAAAUGUUUUGGGUAGCAUUUCCCAUUUACAAUUUUCACUGUAGAUUCUAUCAGUGUAUUAUUUACCAUGUUGUACUACACUGUGAGCUGUGUUAGUGCUUUAUGAAUAAAGUUUUAGAAUAUAAAC
Molecule: non-coding RNA, 204 nt
Organism: Pelobates cultripes (western spadefoot toad)
Lineage: Eukaryota; Metazoa; Chordata; Amphibia; Anura; Pelobatidae
Source: the annotation of a GenBank genome assembly